GCGGAGGUGGCGUAAUGGCAGCCGCGCACGUUUGAGGGGCGUGUGGAGAAAUCCGUAUGGGUUCAAGUCCCAUCCUCCGCA
RNAcentral lists this transfer RNA (81 nucleotides) under bacterium. RNAcentral's name for it is "tRNA-Leu". It matches the Rfam family "tRNA". Rfam says of the family: Transfer RNA (tRNA) molecules are approximately 80 nucleotides in length. Their secondary structure includes four short double-helical elements and three loops (D, anti-codon, and T loops). Further hydrogen bonds mediate the characteristic L-shaped molecular structure. tRNAs have two regions of fundamental functional importance: the anti-codon, which is responsible for specific mRNA codon recognition, and the 3' end, to which the tRNAs corresponding amino acid is attached (by aminoacyl-tRNA synthetases). tRNAs cope with the degeneracy of the genetic code in two manners: having more than one tRNA (with a specific anti-codon) for a particular amino acid; and 'wobble' base-pairing, i.e. permitting non-standard base-pairing at the 3rd anti-codon position. RNAcentral also lists the same sequence under 3 other names. The record is from RNAcentral.